CAGCAUGGCCGCAGUCGAAUAACUGAAACAAGUAAAGGAGUAAGAGUAUACCGGAGGAGGUCCCAAGUGGUGUCAAGAAGGGUUAAUCCAAUAAAUGUGUUUGUGUUAAAAAUUGUUUGAAACCCUGUUAGGUUUUAUACUUCAUCUUGGUAGUGUACUAAAGUGAUGACAAUGAUACCGCCCCAGUCUGAAUUUUGUGCGGAAACGGUACAACUGAUUUAGUACAUAAUUGCAAUUGCCAGCUCUUAGACUUGAGUCCAGAUUUUAUUUUAUUUCACCCAGCACAUGAAGAAUCUAAGUCUCUUAGCUUUGCCAUUGGUCUGCUAUCCAGAAAUAGUUUUAAUUUACAAAAUCUGUUAAGGUUAUUGAAUUGUGUUCAGUGUUUUGUACAAGUUGAGCUAUUGGAUGGAGAGUGUCUUGCAUAGUGUGGGUUGCAUUUUUUUCCUGUGCAUGAAAGGGUUGGAGCUGAAAUAAUUUUGGCAUUACUUGGCCUAAGAUUAAUCUCUAAUCCUUUUUCUUGUUUCUCAUAGUGUAGAGUUUGGGUCUUCAGCAAAAGUUGUUGAUGCAUUGAAUAAAUUCUUGUUGACUCUUGCAUUAGAUUUAAUACUGAUUUUGCAGUAAUUGUGGUAUAAGAACAGGUUCAUAUGCCGUCGUAUCGUAUAGGGAAUACAAUUGCACGCGAUCCCAUUCUUAAUGAGUUAUUCCAUGCCGUACAAUACAUACAGUAACAAUAAAACAUAAGUGGAUUGACGACUAGUCUUCUGUUUGGCGAUAAACCUUAUUUAUUUUACAAUCGUGUUGAUGUUGGGAGUUUGUAAGCGUUAGCAGGUUUUGUGUCUGUGUGUUCGUGAGUGUGACAGAGCGAAAGGUGAAUGUGAUUGACAUAGAAAAGUACCUGAUGGUGGAGGCGGCAAAGAUAGUAGACUCUCCGUGUUGAGUGUACAUUUAGCAUCGUAGCUAGUUGUAGCAGGAACAAUUGUAUAUCAUUUGGUUGAGCAGCGCUGUCUCUGAAGCCAGUUCUUACAAGAACUAAAACUAAAGACAGGUAAUUGAUUUACUGUUUAUGAGGUACACGAAGUGUAAGAGUUCAAUAUCAAGAUGUUGUGUCUCGGAGCUGAGAUUAGUUGAAUCACUUGUGUUUAUCUUUCUCUUGAUAUGAACAUUCUUUCAGAUAUAUUUACUGUAGCCGUUUUCCCGUGGUGAGAUUUUUACCUAACCGCUUGAGUUGAAUCUGUAGUUAUCUUGUGUACAAGUUAAAUCUUCGUAGAUAGAGACGAUGUUGGCGAUGACGUUGUGUCUACUGCUUGGUUUUUGCAGCGUCUUCAUUAUAUAUUCUGCUUGGUUAGUUUUCUCUUGAUAUAGAUAUUCUGCAACUGUUUUUCCGUGGUGAGAUUUUCACACUAACCAUUCAUCUUAUGUACAAGGUAAAUCUUCGUAGAUGGUUUUGCUUGGUGGUCGCCUGCCUUUCGAACUGGAACAUGUUUGAGUAUGCUCUGUGUGGUCAGAGGUUUAGUCCCCACCAGGACUAGAAACCAAAGACGAACUCUGUGGUCAGAGGUCAGUUCUGAGAAGAACUAGAAACCUAAGACGAAAAGUGUCUGAGAAACACUCUCUUAUAUACAGGUUAGGUGGCUCAAACGAACUUCAGAAAUGGAAAGCUGUGAUUGGCUGUUUGGAACAAUGGCGCGAAAAUAAGCGGAGACAAAUUGCGUCACGUGACAACCAGCAGUGCGAACCGUGCAGAGACCGCUCGUGUCACAUGUCAACCAGUGGUGCGAACUAAGUAGAGACAAAUCGCGUCACGUGUCAACCAAACGGAUUAGUGUUUACAACAAACGUUAAACUAGCUGAAGAUGUUUGUAAUCUCGAACAAGAUUAUUCUUAAUGCUCUUCUCAAACAGUGAAGAUAGCAAUGGGGGAAACGAUAUUGCUACAGUGGUGAUAUCCCAGUCUGUUUAGUGAGUUCAUAGUCUAAUGAUUUGAAACCCAGUACCUUUUUUGUUUUAAGGCUUGGUAUUUAUUCUAUUGGUCUCUUUAGUCAAGUAGUGGUGAGUGGGCAUUGGUUUCUGCCCCUCUAAUAAGUCCUAAUAAAACUAGCAGGAGGCAAGGAGUUGAUUUAACCCUUUCAUUGCCAUAUUUCUACUGAAAUAGGGGAGAAUUUAGUAAAAGAGCUGGUGUUAGGAAUGAAACUUACCAUGAAAUUGUGAUGGGAGAUUUUUCAGAUAACUUUAUGAAAAGGAGGUUGCCAUACUGGAGGAGGUCCCAAGUGGUGUCAAGAAGGGUUAAUCCGAUAAAUGUGUUUGUGUUAAAAAUUGUUUGAAACCCUGUUAGGUUUUAUGCUUCAUCUUGGUAGUGUACUAAAGUGAUGACAAUGAUACCGCCCCAGUCUGAAUUUUGUGCGGAAACGGUACAACUGAUUUAGUACAUAAUUGCAAUUGUCAGCUCUUAGACUUGAGUCCAGAUUUUAUUUUAUUUCACCCAGCACAUGAAGAAUCUAAGUCUCUUAGCUUUGUCAUUGGUCUGCUAUCCAGAAAUAGUUUUAAAUUACAAAAUGUGUUCAGUGUUUUGUACAAGUUGAGCUAUUGGAUGGAACGUGGGUUGCAUUUUUUUCCUGUGCAUGAAAGGGUUGGAGCUGAAAUAAUUUUGGCAUUAGUUGGCCUAAGAUUAAUCUCUAAUCCUUUUUCUUGUUUCUCAUAGUGUAAGGUUUGGGUCAUCAGCAAAAGUUGUUGAUGCAUUGAAUAAAUUCUUGUUGACUCUUGCAUUAGAUUUAAUACUGAUUUUGCAGUAAUUGUGGUGAUAUCCCAGUCUGUUUAGUGAGUUCAUAGUCUAAUGAUAUCGAUGUGCUCUUAAUUGCCGUACAUUCUUUAGAUCUAUUGCUUUGUGUUGCAUGUUUUGUCUAAUUUACUUUACUGUUUAGUAAAAAAAAAUGUGAACUGUCAAUGGCUUGGCUGAAAAUACAAGUCUAGCAGUCCAAAUGCAUUAUAGAUAUUUCUAAAAAGGAAUUCAAUAGAAUAUUCAUCCUGUUUCUGCCACAGUUAUGACUUGUAUUCUAAUUAUAUUUGCUCCUCUUCUGAAUGUAACAUGUAAUGAAAGUCUGGAGCCAACAGAAGUUUCCUUUUCAUGUAUAUAUCUUAUACAUUUUUCUUCUUUUUUCCCCCAAACCACAGGUUCAAAACUGACAGCAGAUGAUGGUAUUGAGCAUCCAUUUUAAACUAUUAUUUGAGGCAUUCUCAAGUGCUUGAUAUAAUUCCAAAUAUACAAGAUCUUCAUGGUGAUGACACACAUAAGGAAUUUUCUACUGGACCAGAAUUCUAUACACUCUGUAGAAGAAAUGAAUAAAAGUUCUUCAAAACCAACAAAAUUACUUUUCUUUUUUUUUUUUUCUUUUUUUUAACUACAUAUUGUAGAUAUUGAAUAAAUGUUCAUCAUAU
RNAcentral lists this long non-coding RNA (3431 nucleotides) under Octopus vulgaris (common octopus). The record is from RNAcentral. Lineage: Eukaryota; Metazoa; Mollusca; Cephalopoda; Octopoda; Octopodidae.